This 751-nucleotide ribosomal RNA is filed under the name Streptomyces sp. Its description in RNAcentral is "bacterial SSU rRNA". It matches the Rfam family "Bacterial small subunit ribosomal RNA", at positions 72 to 837 of the family's 1533-position model. Lineage: Bacteria; Bacillati; Actinomycetota; Actinomycetes; Kitasatosporales; Streptomycetaceae. The record is from RNAcentral.
GAAGCCCUUCGGGGUGGAUUAGUGGCGAACGGGUGAGUAACACGUGGGCAAUCUGCCCUUCACUCUGGGACAAGCCCUGGAAACGGGGUCUAAUACCGGAUAAUACUUUCUCCCUCCUGGGAGAAGGUUGAAAGCUCCGGCGGUGAAGGAUGAGCCCGCGGCCUAUCAGCUAGUUGGUGGGGUAAUGGCCUACCAAGGCGACGACGGGUAGCCGGCCUGAGAGGGCGACCGGCCACACUGGGACUGAGACACGGCCCAGACUCCUACGGGAGGCAGCAGUGGGGAAUAUUGCACAAUGGGCGAAAGCCUGAUGCAGCGACGCCGCGUGAGGGAUGACGGCCUUCGGGUUGUAAACCUCUUUCAGCAGGGAAGAAGCGAAAGUGACGGUACCUGCAGAAGAAGCGCCGGCUAACUACGUGCCAGCAGCCGCGGUAAUACGUAGGGCGCAAGCGUUGUCCGGAAUUAUUGGGCGUAAAGAGCUCGUAGGCGGCUUGUCACGUCGGUUGUGAAAGCCCGGGGCUUAACCCCGGGUCUGCAGUCGAUACGGGCAGGCUAGAGUGUGGUAGGGGAGAUCGGAAUUCCUGGUGUAGCGGUGAAAUGCGCAGAUAUCAGGAGGAACACCGGUGGCGAAGGCGGAUCUCUGGGCCAUUACUGACGCUGAGGAGCGAAAGCGUGGGGAGCGAACAGGAUUAGAUACCCUGGUAGUCCACGCCGUAAACGUUGGGAACUAGGUGUUGGCGACAUUCCACGU